Molecule: ribosomal RNA, 497 nt
Filed under: uncultured bacterium
Lineage: Bacteria
Description: partial 16S ribosomal RNA
Rfam family: Bacterial small subunit ribosomal RNA
Source: RNAcentral
GAUGAACGCUGGCGGCGUGCCUAGUACAUGCAAGUCGAGCGAACAGACGAGGAGCUUGCUCCUCUGACGUUAGCGGCGGACGGGUGAGUAACACGUGGAUAACCUACCUAUAAGACUGGGAUAACUUCGGGAAACCGGAGCUAAUACCGGAUAAUAUAUUGAACCGCAUGGUUCAAUAGUGAAAGACGGUCUUGCUGUCACUUAUAGAUGGAUCCGCGCCGCAUUAGCUAGUUGGUAAGGUAACGGCUUACCAAGGCAACGAUGCGUAGCCGACCUGAGAGGGUGAUCGGCCACACUGGAACUGAGACACGGUCCAGACUCCUACGGGAGGCAGCAGUAGGGAAUCUUCCGCAAUGGGCGAAAGCCUGACGGAGCAACGCCGCGUGAGUGAUGAAGGUCUUCGGAUCGUAAAACUCUGUUAUUAGGGAAGAACAAAUGUGUAAGUAACUGUGCACGUCUUGACGGUACCUAAUCAGAAAGCCACGGCUAACUACGUG